GUUUAUUUGAUAUUACAUUACUACUUGGAUAACCGUGGUAAUUCUAGAGCUAAUACAUGCUAAAAACCUCGACUUCGGAAGGGGUGUAUUUAUUAGAUAAAAAACCAAUGCCCUUCGGGGCUCCUUGGUGAUUCAUGAUAACUUAACGAAUCGCAUGGCCUUGUGCCGGCGAUGGUUCAUUCAAAUUUCUGCCCUAUCAACUUUCGAUGGUAGGAUAGUGGCCUACCAUGGUUUCAACGGGUAACGGGGAAUUAGGGUUCUAUUCCGGAGAGGGAGCCUGAGAAACGGCUACCACAUCCAAGGAAGGCAGCAGGCGCGCAAAUUACCCAAUCCCGACACGGGGAGGUAGUGACAAUAAAUACUGAUACAGGGCUCUUUGGGUCUUGUAAUUGGAAUGAGUACAAUUUAAAUCCCUUAACGAGGAACAAUUGGAGGGCAAGUCUGGUGCCAGCAGCCGCG
This 459-nucleotide ribosomal RNA is filed under the name Blastocystis sp. RNAcentral's name for it is "SSU rRNA". It matches the Rfam family "Eukaryotic small subunit ribosomal RNA", at positions 115 to 578 of the family's 1831-position model. Lineage: Eukaryota; Bigyra; Opalinata; Blastocystidae. The record is from RNAcentral.